This 71-nucleotide transfer RNA is filed under the name Ictidomys tridecemlineatus (thirteen-lined ground squirrel). Its description in RNAcentral is "Spermophilus tridecemlineatus (thirteen-lined ground squirrel) tRNA". It matches the Rfam family "tRNA". From Rfam's summary of the family: Transfer RNA (tRNA) molecules are approximately 80 nucleotides in length. Their secondary structure includes four short double-helical elements and three loops (D, anti-codon, and T loops). Further hydrogen bonds mediate the characteristic L-shaped molecular structure. tRNAs have two regions of fundamental functional importance: the anti-codon, which is responsible for specific mRNA codon recognition, and the 3' end, to which the tRNAs corresponding amino acid is attached (by aminoacyl-tRNA synthetases). tRNAs cope with the degeneracy of the genetic code in two manners: having more than one tRNA (with a specific anti-codon) for a particular amino acid; and 'wobble' base-pairing, i.e. permitting non-standard base-pairing at the 3rd anti-codon position. Lineage: Eukaryota; Metazoa; Chordata; Mammalia; Rodentia; Sciuridae. The record is from Rfam by way of RNAcentral.
AGGGUUGUGGCUCAGAGGCAGAGCACUUGCCUAGCAUGCAUGAGGCACUGGGUUCGAUCCUGGCACCACAU